AAUCUCUCUCCGAGUGGUGACAUUAUUAUCGUGAAUUCUUUUUGCAAAUCUUGCAUCUUUAGUAUUUCAGAUACAGAAAUAGUGGUUGACUUGCUAGUGUUGGAGAUGAGGGAUUUUGAUGUAAUCCCUGUUAUAGAUUGGUUAGUAGUGUAUCAUGCUACUAUAGAUGCUUUAAGAAGAUAGUGAACUUUUAUAUUCUAGACCAGCUAUAAUUUAACUCCAUAGGUAGUGGGUCAUAUCCCUCAUUCAAGUUAGUCUUUACUCUACAAGCUAG
RNAcentral lists this long non-coding RNA (274 nucleotides) under Elaeis guineensis (African oil palm). RNAcentral's name for it is "long non-coding RNA (EGUI_LNC024400)". Lineage: Eukaryota; Viridiplantae; Streptophyta; Magnoliopsida; Arecales; Arecaceae. The record is from RNAcentral.